Molecule: long non-coding RNA, 225 nt
Filed under: Ricinus communis (castor bean)
Lineage: Eukaryota; Viridiplantae; Streptophyta; Magnoliopsida; Malpighiales; Euphorbiaceae
Description: long non-coding RNA (RCOM_LNC000744)
Source: RNAcentral
CCUCGGAGGGCUAUAGGAUGGCGUAAGUUCGAGUCUAUUUAAGGCAAACGCCCAUCAUGAGGCAUAAAAAUGAUGGUUGAAGUAGGGGUGGCAAAGUGCCCUACGAUCAUGCCUUUCGGCUAGGCACCCGGAAUUGAGGAUGAGCUGCCGCUGGAGCCUCGGGCCCUUUAAUGACCUCCCUUUACUAGCCUCGGCGCCCUAGCUGUAGGGGCACCACCACCUAGG